AAGUCGUAACAAGGUUUCCGUAGGUGAACCUGCGGAAGGAUCAUUACCGAGUGAGGGCCCUCUGGGUCCAACCUCCCACCCGUGUUUAUUUUACCUUGUUGCUUCGGCGGGCCCGCCUUAACUGGCCGCCGGGGGGCUUACGCCCCCGGGCCCGCGCCCGCCGAAGACACCCUCGAACUCUGUCUGAAGAUUGAAGUCUGAGUGAAAGUAUAAAUUAUUUAAAACUUUCAACAACGGAUCUCUUGGUUCCGGCAUCGAUGAAGAACGCAGCGAAAUGCGAUACGUAAUGUGAGUUGCAAAUUCAGUGAAUCAUCGAGUCUUUGAACGCACAUUGCGCCCCCUGGUAUUCCGGGGGGCAUGCCUGUCCGAGCGUCAUUGCUGCCUCAAGCCCGGCUUGUGUGUUGGGCCCCGUCCCCCGAUCUCCGGGGGACGGGCCGAAAGGCAGCGGCGGCACCGCGUCCGGUCCUCGAGCGUAUGGGGCUUUGUCACCCGCUCUGUAGGCCCGGCCGGCGCUUGCCGAUCAACCCAAAUUUUUAUCCAGGUUGACCUCGGAUCAGGUAGGGAUACCCGCUGAACUUAA
This 580-nucleotide ribosomal RNA is filed under the name uncultured fungus. RNAcentral's name for it is "eukaryotic LSU rRNA". The stretch from base 223 to 375 matches the Rfam family "5.8S ribosomal RNA". Lineage: Eukaryota; Fungi. The record is from RNAcentral.